AGUUUGAUCCUGGCUCAGAUUGAACGCUGGCGGCAGGCCUAACACAUGCAAGUCGAACGGUAGCACAGAGAGCUUGCUCUUGGGUGACGAGUGGCAGACGGGUGAGUAAUGUCUGGGAAACUGCCCGAUGGAGGGGGAUAACUACUGGAAACGGUAGCUAAUACCGCAUAACGUCUUCGGACCAAAGUGGGGGACCUUCGGGCCUCACACCAUCGGAUGUGCCCAGAUGGGAUUAGCUAGUAGGUGGGGUAACGGCUCACCUAGGCGACGAUCCCUAGCUGGUCUGAGAGGAUGACCAGCCACACUGGAACUGAGACACGGUCCAGACUCCUACGGGAGGCAGCAGUGGGGAAUAUUGCACAAUGGGCGCGAGCCUGAUGCAGCCAUGCCGCGUGUAUGAAGAAGGCCUUCGGGUUGUAAAGUACUUUCANGUGGGGAGGAAGGCGAAGAGGUUAAUAACCUUUUCGAUUGACGUUACCCGCAGAAGAAGCACCGGCUAACUCCGUGCCAGCAGCCGCGGUAA
Molecule: ribosomal RNA, 523 nt
Filed under: uncultured bacterium
Lineage: Bacteria
Description: bacterial SSU rRNA
Rfam family: Bacterial small subunit ribosomal RNA
Source: RNAcentral